Non-coding RNA from Vicugna pacos (alpaca), 1370 nucleotides. NCBI's taxonomy places the organism in Eukaryota, Metazoa, Chordata, Mammalia, Artiodactyla, Camelidae. The record is from RefSeq and is a predicted model, not a curated record.
AAUUAGCUUGGUAUCUGACAGUUACUUAUAACAAAAAUAAUUAAAGUAUAAUAUUGAAGAAAGUAAAGAAUAUUCUAAGGAAAGGAGGGAGGAGAUAUUAAAGAGCAAAAAUUAAUGAAAUAGAAAAAAACAGGGAAAAGUAAAUCCAAAAGAUCUUUGAAAAGACUAAUAAAACAGACACUACCCUCUCAUGAAAACAGUCAAGAUAAGAACAAAAGCACAAUUCAUCAGUAUUUGGGACAUAAAGGGGACAAUUACAGAUAGAACAGCAAUCAGAAAAAUAAAGAAUACUAACAAUUUAGCUCAUGUAUUUGAGAAAAAACCAAAAUGGACAAAUUCCCAGAAAAUAUGAUAAAACUGACUCAGCCCUCUUCUCUGCAGCUCUGGGAGCAGAUCUCCUGCCACAGCCCCUCAUUCCCUGAAAAUGUACCCUUUUGCCAAGUUUGUCUCCACCCACUCCUUGAUCAGGAGAACCUCUCCACUACUGAGCUGACUGAUCACUGUCUGCAGUGAUGCUGAAAUGACCAGACGGAGACACUGACAGAUGAGAGCCACAGCAGCUUGGCAGCCCCAUGUCCCAAUCACCUCACUUAUUCCUAGUUGCAGCUUCUAAGCCAGUGCCUUCUCACAGGACACUGACAGAGCAGCCAAGUUCACUGGAGCUGGGGCUGCCAUAGCAGGGGUGGCUACCUCUAGGGCUGGACCUGGAGGUGUGUUUGGGAUUCUCAUCAUUGGUUAUGCCAGGAACCCUUCUCUGAAGCAACAGCUCUUUUCCUGUGCUGUUCUGGGCUUUGACCUCUUGGAGACCAUGAGGCUCUUUUGACAGAUGGUGGCCUUUCUCAUCCUCUUCCCCUCGUGAAGGAGCGAUCUCCAACUCCUAUAGUUCUUUCUCCUAUGUCUUGUCUGAACUGUACGUUCCUUUUCGUGUAAUUCCCCAGGCAGCCUGGGGAAAGUGGUUGGCUCAGGGUUUUACAGAGGGACACAAAAAAAUACUGUAUUAGUAAGAAAAAAAAAAGACUCAAAAAAGACAUGGAAAAAUAUAAAAAGUCCUAUAAUCACAAAUUUAAAAAAAAGAGGGCCCAAAGUGAUUUCACAGAGUUCUACCAAACUUUCACAAAAGAACACUACCAGCUUAUACAAACUCCUCCAGAGAACAGAAAAAGAAGGAAUACUCCCUAAAUGAAUCUAGGUUUAAUCCUCAUAUCAAAAUCAGAUAAAAUGGGGGAAAAAAUACAUGCCAGUCUCACUCAUGAUUAUAGAUGCAACAAUCUAUACAAAAUACUAGCAAAACAAAUCCAGCAAUUAAAAAAAAAGAAAAUACAUCACUACAAGCUGGGUUUAUCACAGGAAUGCAACAUUAGAAAAAAAAA